This 76-nucleotide transfer RNA is filed under the name Olavius sp. associated proteobacterium Delta 1. RNAcentral describes it as "tRNA-Phe-GAA". It matches the Rfam family "tRNA". Rfam says of the family: Transfer RNA (tRNA) molecules are approximately 80 nucleotides in length. The record is from RNAcentral. Lineage: Bacteria; Deltaproteobacteria.
GGAACGGUAGCUCAGCAGGUAGAGCAUUAGGUUGAAGCCCUAAGCUGCAUUGGUUCAAUUCCAAUCCGUUCCACCA